GGAUGAAGCCAACACUCAGAGAAUGACAAAAUCAAAACUUGGAGAUUAACUGACCUCAUAUAGCAUUGCAUAAGCCCCUGAAUCAAGUUAUGCCUGAAGCUUAGUCCUUGAGCCUUCAACUACAUGAACCAAUAUAUUUCUCUAAUUAACCAGGACCUUUUUAUUGCAUUGGGCCCAUCUGGAUAUCCCAGGAUAAUCUCCCUACUUCAAGAGAGAAUGAAGGCAAGGAGAAUGUAAGAACUCAGAAGGCAAGAAGAGAAGCUGGCAUUAGAAUGCGGUUGAACAAGAGAAAGAGUUGGAGAUGCUGAGUUCUGGAGGCAGAUCUACCUAAGAAAAUGGUUAUUUGAAGAAGUGAUUGACUCCAGGGCGAGAGCAAGAAAAGUACAAUAAGAAUUUAAAACAUCUUCCACAGCCGGAAAGUAAGAAGUAUUCAAAAGUGCAGGAAGUGGUUGAAUCUGGCAUCUCAGACAUGGUUGGAGCUAUCUAUUUAAUAAUGGGCUGGAAACUUAAUUGCAUGGGAGUUGAAGAGCUUCCUGGAAAAGUACUCCUGUGAGUCCUUGCUUGAUCCUCAGACAAAUCAGCAUUUCUGACAGUAGAGUGGAGCAAUCUUACAGAAGGCUGUUGGCAAAAUUUAAUGAAAGUUCUUCCAGAAGAGAGUUCCUAUGGGUGAAGUUCCAGACAUGUGAGCAUGACUCAGGAUACGAGUUCUAGGGAGGAGGACAGACAAAUCUGAGUGCCAUAUGCUGUCAGUCAUCAGGAUUUGUCUUUCAGCAAAGCCCCUUUAGCAGAGCAAGAAGAUUUUGAGUGAAAUGACUAAGAGCUGCCCUACUGAAUUAUGUCAUAUAUAUUUAACACCAUGGUAUUGGAGUCCUUGCAAUAAUGUUACACAAAAAUGUAGGGAGCCCCUCUUCUGCAGUUUGAAAGCUAAGGGCUAGAGGGUCACUAGGUAGAAUUACAGAAUCUGGUCCAGGAAUGAGGAAGAUCAUGACACCCAGGAGAACACUGUAUAUUUGAGGUUAAAUAAAAUGCAUCUUUUU
Molecule: long non-coding RNA, 1037 nt
Organism: Homo sapiens (human)
Lineage: Eukaryota; Metazoa; Chordata; Mammalia; Primates; Hominidae
Product: long intergenic non-protein coding RNA 2201
Source: Ensembl